AUACGGAGGAUGCGAGCGUUAUCCGGAUUUAUUGGGUUUAAAGGGAGCGUAGGUGGGAUAUUAAGUCAGCUGUGAAAGUUUGGGGCUCAACCUUAAAAUUGCAGUUGAUACUGGUUUCCUUGAGUACGGUACUGGUGGGCGGACUUCGUGGUGUAGCGGUGAAAUGCUUAGAUAUCACGAAGAACUCCGAUCGCGAAGGCAGCUCACCGGGCCGGAACUGACACUGAUGCUCGAAAGUGCGGGUAUCAAACAGGAUUAGAUACCCUGGUAGUCCGCACAGUAAACGAUGAAUACUCGCUGUUUGCGAUACACGGUAAGCGGCCAAGCGAAAGCGUUAAGUAUUCCACCUGGGGAGUACGCCGGCAACGGUGAAACUCAAAUGAAUUGACGGGG
Molecule: ribosomal RNA, 393 nt
Filed under: uncultured bacterium
Lineage: Bacteria
Description: partial 16S ribosomal RNA
Rfam family: Bacterial small subunit ribosomal RNA
Source: RNAcentral